CGCCUUAAGCUUAUGGGAAAGUGAAUCGGUCUCUAAAUUUAACCUAAAGGAUAAAAUGAUGAGGAAAAGUAUAUGUGACAACAUAAAAUGGAGUAAAAUGUUCUGGAAAAGCAUAUACUAAGCAAGGAAGGAGAAAUGGCUUUUUUUUUAUAAACUAAAAAGAAGAUACUAGGCAUUUCUUUCUAUAGGGAAUAAACUAAAACAGAUGAUACUAGUUUCCUUGUUUAUACUAAAACCGUACCUAAAAACUACCACAAGUAAGCUAGUAGAGAAUACGAAGGCGUUUGAGCUAACAAUCAUUAAGGAACUCGGCAAAUUGACACCGUAACUGAGGGAGAAGGUGUGCCAUUCCUACUGAUUAAUAUCAGUUUAGGAAGAGGAGACAUAAAAUGGUGUUGCACGACUGUUUAAUUAAAACACAGCACUUUGCGUAAGAUGUAAAUCAAUGUAUAGAGUGCGCUAUCUGCCCAAUGAUGGCUGGUUAACGGAUUUACUUAGACGACUAAAAUAGCCUAGGUUUUGAAGGAACCCCCAUUUAAUGGCGGCCUUACCUAUAAGGGUCCUAAGGUAGCGAAAUACCUUGGCAUUUAAAUGAUGUCGCGCAUGAAUGAUCUCACGAUGCAACAGCUGUCUCAAUGAUUGGCUCAGUGAAACUGGAAUGGCAGUGAAGAUACUGCCUAUCUCUAGAUAGACGAGAAGACCCCAUGCAGCUUUACUGUUACUAGUUAUAGGGUAUAAUUUAACAGGUUUUAGGGAAUAAGGUAGUUGAGCGACAAAAUUGAAACACCUUUACUCUGGUUGUUAUAUCAGUAGAAUAGGUUACAUUAUUGUAACUGACGUCUGAAUGUAAUCCAUAAAAGGAGGGAGAUUAUAUCAAGCUCAGGAGACAAUGGCUAGCAGAUGGUUUAUGCGGGGCACAGAUCCCAUAAAGAGUACCUGGGAGUAUCCAAAUUUAUUUUUGUAAUAUGCUAUACGCAAAUUAUAUGGGGCUUUUAUUAAAUAAUUGCCUUGUAUAUUUUAAUUUUUUAAUUACUAUAUUUAGUUUGUUAUUUUUUAUAUUUACUUUUAUAAAGUAUCUAUAACUAAUUCAGUUAUAUUUCUAUUUAAGUUAGAACUAAAACAAUUUAAUAUAAGUAAGAUUUUACCUAUGUGGAAAAUAGGUGUAUAUAUAGUAUUAAUAAUUAAUAUCUAAUUGUAAAAUAACAAUAUAGAGUAAAAGAAGAUAUAAUUAUAACACUAUUAGUUAUUUUUUUUUUACAGAAUACCUGUAUAAGAGAAAUGAUGUUGAUAUAUACUUCAAAAGUUUAAUGGCUUAAUCUUGCUUUACUGUUUGACAUACACGUCUAUCAGUUGCGUAAGCAGGGCAUAAAGACCGCAAGACGCAGUAAGGAAAGGUCUUGUAUUAUUGAAAAAGCUACGCUGGGGAUAACAGGCUAAUUGCGCCAGAGAGUACAAAUUGAGUGCGCAGUUUGGCACCUCGAUGUCGGCUUAGCUCAUCCACAUGAAUGCAGGAAUCAUGAAGGGUACGACUGUUCGUCGAUUAAAGAGCUACACGAGCUGGGUUAAAUACGUCGUGAGACAGUAUGGUUUCUAUCUUCUAGAGGAAAUUGGAGUAAAAUAAGGAUAGCCCCUUCGUACGAAAGGAGUUGGGUAUGGUAACCUAUGGUUUACCUGUUGUUUAUGCGCUUAAUAUUAACCUGAUAAAUUACGGCAAGAAUAGGUUCUCCUCAAUAGGUAGAGAAUGGGUAUCUACAGAAGAAGGAGAGUAAUAUAGAUAGAUUCACAUGAAUACCUAUUCAUGUGAAUUUAUUACCUAUUUGAGCUAUAGAUGGUAAUACUUUUAUACUCAAGUAUUUAUACAUAGUAUAGGCAUGGCAGGAAAGCUAUGUUAGUUAAGAUAAGUGCUGAAUGCAUCUAGGCACGAAGCUUACCUUAGGAUACUCUUAGUAACG
Non-coding RNA from Pyrenophora teres f. teres 0-1, 1952 nucleotides. Lineage: Eukaryota; Fungi; Ascomycota; Dothideomycetes; Pleosporales; Pleosporaceae. The record is from Rfam.